CCUACGGGAGGCUGCAGUGGGGGAUAUUGCACAAUGGGGGAAACUCUGAUGCAGCGACGCCGCGUGAGUGAAGAAGUAUUUCGGUAUGUAAAGCUCUAUUAGCAGGGAAGAAAAUGAUAGUACCUGACCAAGAAGCACCGGCUAACUACGUGCCGGCAGCCGCGGUAAUACGUAGGGGGCAAGCGUUAUCCGGAGUGACGGGGUGUAAAGGGAGCGUAGGCGGUUAUGUAAGUCUGGAGUGAAAGCCCGGGGCCCAACCCCGGGACUGCUUUGGAAACUGUGGAACUGGAGUGCAGGAGGGGCAGGCGGAAUUCCUGGUGUAGCGGUGAAAUGCGUAGAUAUCAGGAGGAACACCGGCGGCGAAGGCGGCCUGCUGGACUGAAACUGACGUUGAGGCUCGAAAGCGUGGGGAGCAAACAGGAUUAGAUACCCCUGUAGUC
This 440-nucleotide ribosomal RNA is filed under the name uncultured bacterium. Its description in RNAcentral is "partial 16S ribosomal RNA". It matches the Rfam family "Bacterial small subunit ribosomal RNA", at positions 338 to 795 of the family's 1533-position model. The record is from RNAcentral.